UGGGGAAUAUUGCACAAUGGGCGCAAGCCUGAUGCAGCCAUGCCGCGUGUGUGAAGAAGGCCUUCGGGUUGUAAAGCACUUUCAGCGGGGAGGAAGGCGUUAAGGUUAAUAACCUUGGCGAUUGACGUUACCCGCAGAAGAAGCACCGGCUAACUCCGUGCCAGCAGCCGCGGUAAUACGGAGGGUGCAAGCAUUAAUCGGAAUUACUGGGCGUAAAGCGCACGCAGGCGGUUUGUUAAGUCAGAUGUGAAAUCCCCGGGCUCAACCUGGGAACUGCAUCUGAUACUGGCAAGCUUGAGUCUCGUAGAGGGGGGUAGAAUUCCGGGUGUAGCGGUGAAAUGCGUAGAGAUCUGGAGGAAUACCGGUGGCGAAGGCGGCCCCCUGGACGAAGACUGACGCUCAGGUGCGAAAGCGUGGGGAGCAAACAGG
RNAcentral lists this ribosomal RNA (429 nucleotides) under Chloroflexota bacterium. Its description in RNAcentral is "Chloroflexi bacterium partial 16S ribosomal RNA". It matches the Rfam family "Bacterial small subunit ribosomal RNA", at positions 355 to 776 of the family's 1533-position model. The record is from RNAcentral. Lineage: Bacteria; Bacillati; Chloroflexota.